CAUUGGAUCGUUCGAUUCCC
This 20-nucleotide microRNA is filed under the name Spodoptera frugiperda (fall armyworm). Its description in RNAcentral is "sfr-miR-10503-5p". Lineage: Eukaryota; Metazoa; Arthropoda; Insecta; Lepidoptera; Noctuidae. The record is from miRBase by way of RNAcentral.